RNAcentral lists this transfer RNA (59 nucleotides) under Triticum aestivum (bread wheat). It matches the Rfam family "tRNA", at positions 8 to 63 of the family's 71-position model. From Rfam's summary of the family: Transfer RNA (tRNA) molecules are approximately 80 nucleotides in length. The record is from Rfam by way of RNAcentral. Lineage: Eukaryota; Viridiplantae; Streptophyta; Magnoliopsida; Poales; Poaceae.
UAGCUCAGCUGGUUAGAGCGCUGGUCCGAUGUACCAGAAGUCACGGGUUCAAGCCCCGU